RNAcentral lists this ribosomal RNA (440 nucleotides) under uncultured bacterium. RNAcentral describes it as "partial 16S ribosomal RNA". It matches the Rfam family "Bacterial small subunit ribosomal RNA", at positions 338 to 795 of the family's 1533-position model. The record is from RNAcentral.
CCUACGGGGAGCUGCAGUGGGGAAUAUUGCACAAUGGGGGAAACCCUGAUGCAGCGACGCCGCGUGAGUGAAUAAGUAUUUAGGUAUGUAAAGCUCUGUCAGCAGGGAAGAAAAUGACGGUACCUGACCAAGAAGCCCCGGCUAACUACGUGCCAGCAGCCGCGGGAAUACGUAGGGGGCAAGCGGUAUCCGGAUUUACUGGGUGUAAAGGGAGCGUAGACGGGAGGGCAAGUCUGGAGUGAAAGGCGGGGGCUCAACCCCCGGACUGCGCUGGAAACUGGCAGGCUGGAGUGCAGGAGAGGUAAGUGGAAUUCCUAGUGUAGCGGUGAAAUGCGUAGAUAUUAGGAGGAACACCAGUGGCGAAGGCGGCUUACUGGACUGUAACUGACGUUGAGGCUCGAAAGCGUGGGGAGCAAACAGGAUUAGAUACCCCGGUAGUC